Molecule: ribosomal RNA, 217 nt
Filed under: uncultured bacterium
Lineage: Bacteria
Description: partial 16S ribosomal RNA
Rfam family: Bacterial small subunit ribosomal RNA
Source: RNAcentral
GAUCUCAGUUCGGACUGUAGGCUGCAACUCGCCUACACGAAGUUGGAAUUGCUAGUAAUCGUGGAUCAGCAUGCCACGGUGAAUACGUUCCCGGGUCUUGUACACACCGCCCGUCACACCAUGGGAGCUGGUAACACCCGAAGUCAGUAGUCUAACCGCAAGGAGGACGCUGCCGAAGGUGGGAUUAGCGACUGGGGUGAAGUCGUAACAAGGUAUC